This 3094-nucleotide small RNA is filed under the name Pan troglodytes (chimpanzee). RNAcentral describes it as "retained intron". Lineage: Eukaryota; Metazoa; Chordata; Mammalia; Primates; Hominidae. The record is from RNAcentral.
GAGCCCGCGCUCGGCCCGCAGGACGUGGAGACCACGUACUUCUGCAACACGUGCGGACAGCCGCUGUGCGCGCGCUGCCGCGACGAGACGCACCGAGCACGCAUGUUCGCGCGCCACGACAUCGUGGCCCUGGGUCAGCGAAGCCGCGACGUGCCCCAGAAGUGCAGCCGUGAAGGCCCUGCAGACGGCCACGCGGGAGGCCAUCGCGCUGCUGCAGGCCAUGGUGGAGGAGGUGCGGCACAGCGCCGCCGAGGAGGAGGACGCUAUCCACGCCCUCUUCGGCAGCAUGCAGGACAGGCUGGCAGAGAGGAAAGCGCUGCUGCUGCAGGCUGUGCAGAGCCAAUACGAAGAGAAGGACAAGGCCUUCAAGGAGCAGCUCUCUCACUUGGCCACCUUGCUGCCCACCCUGCAGGUACAGGGAGCUCGGGGUGCGGGUGGGUCCCUCCUCCCCGGCCAGGCACUGAGCAGCAUCCCCUCCCCCAGGUCCACCUGGUCAUCUGCUCCUCCUUCCUCAGCUUGGCCAACAAGGCUGAGUUCCUGGACCUGGGCUAUGCUGGCAGGGGGCUUAGGCCCCAAGGCGCUGACGGGGCCCCACUGCCCCUCCCCAGUAGGAAAGAUGUCGGGGUCACCCGUCCAAAAGCCCACGCUGCACCGGUCCAUCAGCACCAAGGUGCUGCUGGCGGAGGGCGAGAACACGCCCUUCACAGAGCACUGCCGCCACUAUGAGGACUCCUACCGGCCUCUCUGUGCAGCACCUGCAGGCAGAGAUGCAGAGCCUAAAGGACCAGGUACAGGAGCUGCACCGAGACCUCACCAAGCACCACUCGCUCAUCAAGGCGGAGAUCAUGGGAGACGUCCUGCGCAAGUCCCUGCAACUGGACGUGCAGAUCGCCUCAGAGCACGCCUCCUUAGAGGGCAUGAGGGUCGCCUUCCAGGAGAUUUGGGAGGAAGCCUAUCAGCGAGUGGCUAAUGAGCAGGAGAUUUAUGAAGGUUCCAGACAGUUGGCUGCUGAGUGAACCCUCUGUCCCUGAGCUAACUAACCCACAUACUAGCAGAGGAGGAAGUCAGAGUCGGCCACUAACCAGAUGCAAAUCCCCACGCUCUUCCCCUUAGCGCUUGACCGUGCCUCCCAGCUGCUAACUGGCCUCCAAUGAUGCAUGUGAGGUCAGGAUUCAUUGAGUAGAAUGCCCUCACCAAGUGCCUCCCUCUUUCAUUAGAGGUCAUCAUGGAAAUGGUCGGGAUAUUUACGUGGUGCCUGGCUUGAGUAAAAAUCUGAAGCCAGGUGCUUCAGGAUUAAGACCCCAUGCUCUGGCCUUGGCCCCACAGCCCAGCUCCAUGACCUUCUCCAGCUGAGGCAGGAGAAUGCCUACCUGACCACCAUCACCAAGCAGAUCACGCCCUACGUCCGCUCCAUUGCCAAGGUGAAGGAGCGGCUGGAGCCCAGGUUUCAGGCACCCGUGGAUGAGCAGUCAGAGAGUCUACAGAACACGCACGACAACAGCAGGAACAGCGCGGCCUCAGCCAGGAAUAAUCCAGGAAGUGUCCCGGAAAAGAGAGAGAAGACAUCAGAGCCUAAAGGAGACAGCUGGGCUCCGAACGGCCUCUCAGAAGAGCCUCUACUGAAAAAUAUGGAUCAUCACAGAUCCAAACAGAAAAAUGGGGGUGAUGUCCCCACAUGGAGGGAACACCCGACUUAGCAAAUGGGACCGGUCCCCAGGGUCAGGCUCUUAGAGCAGGCACAAGACUGGGACACUGGACAGAAGGUUGUUCCCAUGAUGGUUUUUUUUAUUUUUUACUUUUGAGAUGGAGUUUCGCUCUGUUGCCCAGGCUGGAGUGUAAUGGUGCGAUCUCGGCUCACUGCAACCUCUGCCUCCUGGGUUCAAGCGAUUCUCCUGCCUCAGCCUCCCGAGUAGCUGGGAUUACAGGCGCCUGACACCACGCCCCACUAAUUUUUUGUAUUUUUAGUAGAGAUGGGGUUUCACCAUGUUGGCCAGGCUGGUCUCAAACUCCAGACCUCAGGUGAUCCACCUGCCUCAGCCUCCCAAAGUGCUGAGAUUACAGGGGUGAGUCACCGUGCCUGGCCAAUGUUGUUGUUGUUUUUAAGACAGAAUUUCACUCUUUGUUGCUCAGGCUGGAGUGCAAUGGCGCAAUCUCUGGCUCACCGCAACCUCCGCCUCCCAGGUUCAAGCGAUUCUCCUACCUCAGCCCCCAGAGUAGCUGGGAUUACAGGCAUGUACCAUCACACCCGGCUAAUUUUUUGUAUUUUUAGUAGAGAGGGGGUUUCUCCAUGUUGGUCAGGCUGGUCUCGAACUCCCAACCUCAGGUGAUCCGCCCACCUCGGCCUCCCAAAAUGCUGGGAUUACAGGGUAAGCCACUGUGCCCGGCCGGUUAUUUCUUUAAAAGGUAAUCAUUUGUCAAGAGUAAAACCCAGAAGCUCUGACAGGCCAUAAUUUCAGAUCCUUUGGCUUGGGCAGUUUUGAUUUUCCCCGUGUUUGCAUGGCACGAAGUCUUCGUCCUUGUCACAGUAGCUUGGGAUGACUCCCACUCCACAUGGAAAACAUCAGGGAGUGACAAUCCAACAAGAAAUCCCUCGCUAGUUCCACACCUACACACCGAGCGUCUGUGUGCCAGGCCCUGUGCUGGGCAGAGUGUGGUAUGUCAGGGUGUGCCGGUUUUAGGUAACAAGACUCCACCACUGAGUGGCACCUGCCCUAUCGCAAAGGAAUCCAGUUCCUCCGGAAUAACAGUCCCACUGUUAACCUGGUGCUACUGGGAAGUUCCACCCAGUAAUCUGAGCAGUGACUCAUGGAAGGAUGAGGAACGUUUGCUCCAGCUUCUCUCCCUUUCCAGCAAGGGCAGAGCUCCUAAAGCCAGGGGUUAGCACCUGGCCAGCUUAUGUGGCAGAUGGUCUCAGUUACAACUUCGCUGCUUUCCCAAACUCCUGCAGCCCUCCUGAGUCCGCCUUCCAUUGACAGCAAGGCACUGGGCGGCAGCGACCUUUUUUCUAGUAGUUUUUUCCCAGCAGUUUUCCAUUUCUCCACAGUACCCUUUUCAUUUAGAGGAGCUUAAUAAAUGCUUUUUAAAAAGUAACCCA